RNAcentral lists this transfer RNA (90 nucleotides) under Acerihabitans arboris. RNAcentral describes it as "Enterobacteriales bacterium SAP-6 tRNA-Ser". It matches the Rfam family "tRNA". Rfam says of the family: Transfer RNA (tRNA) molecules are approximately 80 nucleotides in length. RNAcentral also lists the same sequence under 13 other names. The record is from RNAcentral. Lineage: Bacteria; Pseudomonadati; Pseudomonadota; Gammaproteobacteria; Enterobacterales; Pectobacteriaceae.
GGAGAGAUGCCGGAGCGGCUGAACGGGACGGUCUCGAAAACCGUUGAAGGAGCGAUCCUUCCCAGGGUUCAAAUCCCUGUCUCUCCGCCA